This 432-nucleotide ribosomal RNA is filed under the name uncultured bacterium. RNAcentral describes it as "partial 16S ribosomal RNA". It matches the Rfam family "Bacterial small subunit ribosomal RNA", at positions 29 to 506 of the family's 1533-position model. The record is from RNAcentral.
AGCGAACGCUGGCGGCAGGCCUAACACAUGCAAGUCGAACGAACUCUUCGGAGUUAGUGGCGGACGGGUGAGUAACACGUGGGAACGUGCCUUUUGGUUCGGAAUAACUCAGGGAAACUUGUGCUAAUACCGAAUGUGCCCUUCGGGGGAAAGAUUUAUCGCCAUUAGAGCGGCCCGCGUCUGAUUAGCUAGUUGGUGAGGUAACGGCUCACCAAGGCGACGAUCAGUAGCUGGUCUGAGAGGAUGACCAGCCACACUGGGACUGAGACACGGCCCAGACCCCGGCGGGAGGAGGCAGGGGGGAUUUUGGGGAAAGGGGCAAAACCUGGACGCGCCCAGGCCGGGGAAAUAUGAAAGUUUUUAGGAUGAAAAAUUUUUUUCCCCGGGGACGAAAAGGACGGACCCGGGAGAAGAACCCCCGCUUAACUCGGG